This 71-nucleotide transfer RNA is filed under the name Orchesella cincta. It matches the Rfam family "tRNA". From Rfam's summary of the family: Transfer RNA (tRNA) molecules are approximately 80 nucleotides in length. The record is from Rfam by way of RNAcentral. Lineage: Eukaryota; Metazoa; Arthropoda; Collembola; Entomobryomorpha; Orchesellidae.
AGCAGAGUGGCGCAGUGGAAGCGUGCUGGGCCCAUAACCCAGAGGUCGUAGAUCGAAACUACCCUCUGCUA